CAAGCAUCACCACCUACACCGUACAAUUGCAACUACGAGUCAUAAUAGACAGUUUUAAUACCAUUGAUAUGAACUCAAAAGAACCACACUCCAAAAGUUUUGGAGAACCCAAUUUCAUUGAAAUCAUGCCAUCAACAUUUGAAAUCCUCAUUUCAUAUCAGAUUCACAAAGAGGUGCACUCCACAAAGAAAAUUCGUCCUUUCCCUUUGUUGCAUAAAAGGAAAUGAAAAUGGAAAAAAAAAAAAUUCUCCUGUGCAAAGAAUGUAAAAUAAUUACUGCAAGCAGCUGUAUUUAGCCAAAAAAAAAUAAAAAAAGCCUGCUAGCACCAUCAUUUGCUUUACAUCAUAGGUGAUGAAAACUAACUCCUAAAAGUACAAGCUCUGAAUUAUCAGGUAAAAGGUCAACUGGUGACCAUAAUAUCCUGUGCUUUAAAUGCCUGGGGAUCAACUCCCACAUCCCUGAACAAAUCUAGUAAAAAUGUGUGUGACCAAAAGAAACACGUUCUAUACAUACCAGAUUUUCCCCCUUUCACACUUGCCACCAUUUUCGAUUCUCCAUUGCCUUAACAAGCUCAUUUGCCAAUGAUGCGAAGUCUUCAGCUCCAUUUUGCAGCUCUGCAGUGCGCCUGCUGAUUCUCUCCAAUUUUUCUUGUCUUUCCACAAGCUUGUUUCUUGCGUGUGCAGCAACUGACGAGGCAUCCUAGAAGCAAUUACCACAUCAAAAUAAGUAAUCCAUUGAAAUAAAUGUCACCUUGCAAAAAAGAAGUUGACUACUAAAUAAUUGUAGUCACUAGAACUGUGAUAUCUUGAGUUCCAAUCAAAGCAGAAUGAAGCCACCAAAAAUAAAAUAAUAAUAAUCAUAAUCCAUGAUAUUACCCCAGCUUUUCUAUAUUGAGCUAUAAUUUCUUCAGGUGUCCUUAGUCUGGGUUUUAUAUCAUCAGCCCUGCCUAAUAACUGUUCCCUUUCUGUAUCCUUCUCUCUCUUUAUAUUUUUCACUUCCUGCGAUGUAGUUACCGUGGGCAGAGGUGAUUCAUCUAUCUCAAUAUCAUCUAUAUUAAGCUCUACAGCUUCCU
RNAcentral lists this unclassified non-coding RNA (1072 nucleotides) under Hevea brasiliensis (rubber tree). Lineage: Eukaryota; Viridiplantae; Streptophyta; Magnoliopsida; Malpighiales; Euphorbiaceae. The record is from RNAcentral.